AGCGAACGCUGGCGGCAGGCCUAACACAUGCAAGUCGAGCGCCCGUAGCAAUACUGGAGCGGCAGACGGGAUAGUAACACGUGGGAACGUACCCUUCAGUUCGGAACAACCCAGGGAAACUUGGGCUAAUACCGAAUACGUCCGUAAGGAGAAAGAUUUAUCGCUGAAGGAUCGGCCCGCGUCUGAUUAGCUAGUUGGUGAGGUAAUGGCUCACCAAGGCGACGAUCAGUAGCUGGUCUGAGAGGAUGAUCAGCAUCACUGGGACUGAGACACGGCCCAGACUCCUACGGGAGGCAGCAGUGGGGAAUAUUGGACAAUGGGCGCAAGCCUGAUCCAGCCAUGCCGCGUGGAUGAUGAAGGCCCUAGGGUUGUAAAGUCCUUUCGGCGGGGAAGAUAAUGACGGUACCCGCAGAAGAAGCCCCGGCUAACUUCGUGCCAGCAGCCGCGGU
RNAcentral lists this ribosomal RNA (449 nucleotides) under uncultured bacterium. RNAcentral's name for it is "bacterial SSU rRNA". It matches the Rfam family "Bacterial small subunit ribosomal RNA", at positions 29 to 521 of the family's 1533-position model. The record is from RNAcentral.